AGAGUUUGAUCCUGGCUCAGAUUGAACGCUGGCGGCAGGCCUAACACAUGCAAGUCGAACGGUAACAUUUCUAGCUUGCUAGAAGAUGACGAGUGGCGGACGGGUGAGUAAUGCUUGGGAACUUGCCUUUGCGAGGGGGAUAACAGUUGGAAACGACUGCUAAUACCGCAUAAUGUCUUCGGACCAAACGGGGCUUCGGCUCCGGCGCAAAGAGAGGCCCAAGUGAGAUUAGCUAGUUGGUAAGGUAACGGCUUACCAAGGCGACGAUCUCUAGCUGUUCUGAGAGGAAGAUCAGCCACACUGGGACUGAGACACGGCCCAGACUCCUACGGGAGGCAGCAGUGGGGAAUAUUGCACAAUGGGGGAAACCCUGAUGCAGCCAUGCCGCGUGUGUGAAGAAGGCCUUCGGGUUGUAAAGCACUUUCAGUUGUGAGGAAAAGUUAGUAGUUAAUACCUGCUAGCCGUGACGUUAACAACAGAAGAAGCACCGGCUAACUCCGUGCCAGCAGCCGCGGUAAUACGGAGGGUGCGAGCGUUAAUCGGAAUUACUGGGCGUAAAGCGCACGCAGGCGGUUUGUUAAGCUAGAUGUGAAAGCCCCGGGCUCAACCUGGGAUGGUCAUUUAGAACUGGCAGACUAGAGUCUUGGAGAGGGGAGUGGAAUUCCAGGUGUAGCGGUGAAAUGCGUAGAUAUCUGGAGGAACAUCAGUGGCGAA
Molecule: ribosomal RNA, 714 nt
Filed under: uncultured Alteromonas sp.
Lineage: Bacteria; Pseudomonadati; Pseudomonadota; Gammaproteobacteria; Alteromonadales; Alteromonadaceae
Description: bacterial SSU rRNA
Rfam family: Bacterial small subunit ribosomal RNA
Source: RNAcentral